UGCGUAGGCGGGCUAAUAAGUCAGUGGUGAAAUCUUCCGGCUCAACCGGGAACCUGCCAUUGAUACUGUUAGUCUUGAGUUCGGCUGAGGUAGGCGGAAUGUGUAAUGUAGCGGUGAAAUGCUUAGAUAUUACACAGAACACCAAUUGCGUAGGCAGCUUACUAGACCGACACUGACGCUGAGGCACGAAAGCGUGGGGAGCGAACAGGAUUAGAUACCCCGGUAGUCC
RNAcentral lists this ribosomal RNA (229 nucleotides) under uncultured bacterium. Its description in RNAcentral is "partial 16S ribosomal RNA". It matches the Rfam family "Bacterial small subunit ribosomal RNA", at positions 568 to 796 of the family's 1533-position model. The record is from RNAcentral.